UUAUUUUGGGAGAAAGUUUAUAUAGAAUUGCUGAUACUCGCCGUCUUCAUUGUCGUCGAAGUAGGCGACUCGGUCCUCUGUGGAAACCAACCAUCGCCCGCUGGAUGUUCUGCUCCGCCGUGUUGUAUCUAUAUUGUGUUCUUGUUGUUGUUGUUGCUCUGAUUCUCUGAUCGCCAUGAGUAAGAAGCGACGGUCUGAUGCUGAUACGGCUUUCCCCGGUCUUCGCCAGCUUCUCUGUGAUGUUUUCUUCCGUCGCCGGCGUUUUUACUAUCAUGUUUUGCCGCUUCUUUCCGCACUUGCUGGUUGUGUUUUUGUUUGCUUUGUUGCUCUGUUUCUUCUUGUUGCUUCUCCUGUUGUUCAUCGUGAUCAUCUUCACUUGACUCUCUUUCAUGGCGGAAGCUCGAUAGACCAAGGCAUUGAGGAUGAAUCGAGUUCUAAUUUGGAAAUGAAAUCAAUCAUCGGCGUUUCGGGAAGUGGAGGCAGAUUCGAACGUGAUGUAUGGGUCACGGAUCAAUCGAGUUUCUUCUAUGGCUGUAGCAAUGCUAGCAAGAAGUUCACACCGGCCGCUGAGAAAACCGAUCCCGACAGAUACUUGCUGAUUACUACGAGUGGAGGCCUUAAUCAGCAAAGAACAGGGAUAACAGAUGCUGUUGUUGCAGCUUACAUUUUGAAUGCCACUCUAGUUGUUCCCAAGCUGGAUCAAAAUUCAUUUUGGAAGGAUAGCAGCAAUUUUGCAGAAAUUUUUGAUGAGGACUGGUUUAUUAAAUUUCUCUCGAAUGAUGUUCAAAUCAUCAAGGAUUUACCAAUGGAAGUUGGGAAAACUUUGACUCCUCAUAGGAUGCGUGUUCCAAGGAAGUGUGAUCCAGAAUGCUAUGAAAAACAUGUCCUUCCUGUUCUUAAAAAGAAGCAUGCUGUUCGGCUUGGAAAAUUUGAUUAUAGGCUUUCAAAUAGGCUGACAACUGACUUACAGAAGUUAAGAUGCAGAGUUAACUAUCAUGCAUUAAAGUUUACUGAAGAGAUCAAUGAAAUGGGCCAAGCAUUGGUUGAGAGGAUGAAGAUCAAAAGCAAACAUUUUAUUGCCCUACAUUUGAGGUUUGAGCCUGACAUGCUUGCAUUUUCUGGCUGUUAUUAUGGUGGGGGGAAAGAUGAGAAGGAAGAACUUGGAAAAAUUCGGAAGAGAUGGAAAAGCUUACAUGCAAGCAAUCCCGAUAAGGAACGAAGGCAGGGAAGAUGCCCUCUUACUCCCGAAGAAGUCGGUCUGAUGCUUCGAGGGCUCGGCUUUGGAAGUGAUGUGCACCUUUAUGUGGCAUCUGGUGAAGUAUAUGGAGGAGAAGAAACUCUAGCUCCACUGAAAGCAAUGUUUCCAAAUUACCAUACCAAGGAGACUCUUGCCAGCCCGGAAGAGUUGGCACCCUUUUUGCCAUUUUCGUCUCGUAUGGCUGCGAUCGACUUCAUUGUUUGUGACGAAAGCAAUGUUUUUGUCUCGAACAACAAUGGGAACAUGGCUAAGAUUUUAGCAGGACGAAGGAGAUACUUCGGUCAUAAACCAACCAUCCGUCCGAACGCUAAAAAGCUGAACCGACUAUUCAUGGACCGAAACAACAUGACAUGGGAACAAUUUUCAUCCAAGGUCCAAUCUUAUCAAGUUGGCUUCAUGGGAGAGCCAAAUGAGGUGAAGCCAGGGAGAGGUGAGUUCCAUGAAAACCCAUCAGCCUGCAUUUGCGGGAAUUAUGACUCACAUGUCAUGAGUGACCCAUCUCAUGUCAACCAAAUUCAUCACAAUCACACCGAAGACGUCAAUGAAAACAACCAUGGCUACAACGAAACGAGCAAUUCGACAAAAGAACAAACCGCAACAGAAGACGACCAAGAAUGGACUGGAUUGGAAUAUUUAGACAUCGGAAACGACUUGGGAGAGAGAAGAUUGCACACUCUCAUUGACUCUGAUCUUGGCGUUCGACCCAAACCCGAACAACCAGAAUUGGAAGAGUUAUUUUCAGACUAAAAAGACGGUUUGUACGUGUCACAAAAAUAAGAAUUCUAGAGCGGGAGAAACUUUUAGAGCAAUUUAAGAAGAGAAACUGUGACAAAAGAGCAGAUUAUGACGAAGAAAAAAAGCACAAGCUACCUCGUUCUUGCUCCUGCUUUUUUCAUACUGAUCUCUAGUUGAUGUUGGCUAGAAGCAACCUCCGUUUUUGGUGAGGAGCACCUCUUCAAACUAAAGAAAAGAAUUGUUAUAAUCAAUAUUAAAUAUCGUACA
Molecule: RNA transcript, 2260 nt
Organism: Cucurbita pepo subsp. pepo (vegetable marrow)
Lineage: Eukaryota; Viridiplantae; Streptophyta; Magnoliopsida; Cucurbitales; Cucurbitaceae
Gene name: O-fucosyltransferase 6
Source: RefSeq, a predicted model, not a curated record